RNAcentral lists this non-coding RNA (393 nucleotides) under Yersinia enterocolitica. Lineage: Bacteria; Pseudomonadati; Pseudomonadota; Gammaproteobacteria; Enterobacterales; Yersiniaceae. The record is from RNAcentral.
GCUUUGCAACGGCUUUACCAACAGGCUGUUAUUUUUCAAUGUAACUUCACCGCUGGCAUGAGUAAUGCGGUUUUCUUCCAAUGGGAUAUCCAGAUGUAAGCGCCCACUAACAUUACCUCCUACCUGUAACUCCUCCAGUGUUUCCGCUACCGAAUCGUUGAGUGGAGUUUUAGUAAAGUAGUCAUGGACGUCACGCCCUUCACCUGCAACUUCAGCAUCAACAUAGAGUUUUUCUUUCAGAUAGUCCGGAAUAAUAGCGCUGAUAUUGCUACCGGUAACUUUACCCAACAUGGCAUGAGGCGCAUUCAUCCACAGGCCUUCAUUGAGAAAAUCGAGGUCGAUGGCUAAAUUAUCUAACGCGGGCCAAUCUGGCUGGAACUGGAAGGUAGCGUU